Molecule: ribosomal RNA, 595 nt
Filed under: Sclerophrys channingi
Lineage: Eukaryota; Metazoa; Chordata; Amphibia; Anura; Bufonidae
Description: partial 16S ribosomal RNA
Rfam family: Bacterial large subunit ribosomal RNA
Source: RNAcentral
AAACAUCGCCUCUUGAAUUACAUAAGAGGUCCAGCCUGCCCAGUGACUCUGUUCAACGGCCGCGGUAUCCUAACCGUGCGAAGGUAGCGUAAUCACUUGUUCUUUAAUUGUGGACUAGUAUGAAUGGCACCACGAGGGUUAUACUGUCUCCUUUUUCUAAUCAGUGAAACUAAUCUCCCCGUGAAGAAGCGGGAAUAAAAAUAUAAGACGAGAAGACCCUAUGGAGCUUCAAACGGCACAGCAAUUACCACACAACACAAAUUUUUUCCGAACCACCUAAUUCUAAUGGUAACAUGACUGUGAGUUUUUGGUUGGGGUGACCGCGGAGCAUAACACAACCUCCAUGCUGAAAGAAAAAUCUCUAAGCUAAGACUCACGUGUCUAAGCAUCAGCACACUGACAUUCAUUGACCCAAUACAAUUGAGCAACGAACCAAGUUACCCUAGGGAUAACAGCGCAAUCCACUUCAAGAGCUCCUAUCGACAAGUGGGUUUACGACCUCGAUGUUGGAUCAGGGUGUCCCAGUGGUGCAGCCGCUACUAAAGGUUCGUUUGUUCAACGAUUAAUACCCUACGUGAUCUGAGUUCAGACCGGA